UUUUUCUUUGCAGUGUAAAUUACACAGCUUCAGUAUAAGAAUUCACAGCUCGUUAAGUCUUCAAUCGUUAAUGGAGAUGAGCACCAACCCCCAGAGUCAGACAUGACUGGACUUAAUGUCAGGGGAAACCUUUACCUUUACCUUUUUACUGAGUCCCCUUCGGGGUGAGAAGAGCGGGAUAUAAAUGUAGUAAAUUAAAUAAUAAAUAAUAAAGUGGGCCCUGAGACUUCAAGUCUCCCUGACUCGGAGGGUUGCAGUUCCUCUUCUCCCUCUCCCCGCCCGGCCUCUUGCCCCCGCUUCUUCCCACUGAAAGAAACCCCCCAAUAAAUCUCGUCCUCCCACCUCUUUCUGCUCCCUGGGCCCCAGGGCUGGGCGCAGGCCAUUCCCAAACUUCUCCUUCACCUUCGCCUUGCAGCCUUGGGAGAGGCACAUAUUUUCCUGACCAGCAAGGGCAGAGGACGCCCGUCUUCCCUGGCCGCUUUUCCACGCAUCUUUUCUUCCUUCUCUUCUUUCCUCUUCCUCUUCUCUCCCCCUUCCUCUCCUCCGUUGGGAUUCUCUCUCGUUGCGCUUCUUCGCAUCUGCCGCCGGCGGCUUGCUUUCUCUCUCUCUCUCUCUCUCUCUCUCUCUCUCUCUCUCUCUCUCUCUCUCUCUCUCUCUCUCUCUCUCUCUCUCCUUCGUUGCCUCAGUUCCCUCUGCUGCGACCGCAACAGCUGGGGAGACCCCUUCCCCGCCCCCUGGCCGCCCCCUCUCUCUCGCCUCCCUCCGGAGAAGCCCUUUCCCUCUGCGGAGUCACCUCUCGCUUGCCCACUCCCCCCCCCCCCCCCACACACACACAAUCCCCGCCUCGCCUUGCCGCCUCCUCCUCGCCUCAACUGGGCCAGCAGCUCCCAGUCCCGCCGCACCGAGCUCCCCGCCUUUCCCUCUCUCGCUUCCACGGCACGCGCGGCUUCCUCUUCCCCUUCCUCUUCCCCUUCCUCUUCCUCCGCCGCGUCCUCCCGAUGGUGCCGCGCCCGCCCCGGUGGCCCUCGCGCCCUCCGCGCCUCCGCCUCCCGCUGGUGCUGGCGCUGCUGCUGGCCGCCCUGGGACACGCGUGGACCUACCGCGAGGAGCCCGAGCAGAGCGACAGGGAAGUGUGUUCAGAGAGCAAAGUGGCCACCACCAGAUACUCCUGUCUCAAGCCCAGUGGGGAGCUCGCCACCUGCUUCAGGUGAGUGGCCUUCUUUGCAAAGAGGAGGAGGAAGAGGAGGAGCCUUUGUGGUGCCUUGUCUUUGGGUUUCUCCUGUCAGAGGACUUCCUCCUCUGAGAGCCUCUGAGAUCCCCUUCCCGGUUUCAUCCCUUCCUUCUUUCUUUCACUGUGGUUACUGA
RNAcentral lists this long non-coding RNA (1365 nucleotides) under Anolis carolinensis (green anole). RNAcentral describes it as "lncRNA (ENSACAG00000026781.2)". The record is from RNAcentral. Lineage: Eukaryota; Metazoa; Chordata; Lepidosauria; Squamata; Anolidae.